GGUUUUCAAACAGAGAUCUGGACCCGAACGAGAGGUCAUUAGGUGAAUAAAACAAUAACAGAAUUAUUUUGGACUUUUAUCUAGAAUAUUCAGUGAGAUCUAGAGGCCGUUUUCUAGACUGAAACGCUCACUUGCUCACGAAGAUCCUGUGAUGCACCUUAAGUCUGAUCCUCUGUCAAGUUUCACCGUCAUACUUGUCUGUGGAUGUAAAUCUUCUGUGCACACAAACACGACCAGCCUCCUCUUCCUCUCCGUCUCCGUGUGUGGUCGUGUCAUUAUUAUUAAGAAACACAAAAGGGGUCAAAACUGUUCCAACAUUUAACAGGAUGAUUAUAAUUAUUAUUCCUUCAUUCAUGAUAUUUGUGAAGUCCACUGUUCUGUAUUCUUCAGUGUUUUCACUCUGUGGUUGGAGCACCUAUUAUCACUUUGAGUCCAGGCCCUGCAGACGACACAGUUGGACGGCUGCCUGGCCUCCUUUCAGUUCAAAUGUCUGUUAACAGCCGUCUCGUAAAGCCAGUGGUGAAAGUUUAUUGAUAGAGAGUUUAUCUGUGAGCAGAGUUUACGCAGCAGCCCGCAGUGAAAAGACAAAGAGACAAAGAGAGGGAGAGCGAGACAAAAGGAGCAGGCUUAAAUAUAAACCUGCUGCAUUUUUCUCUCAAAUGGAUUUCUGCAGAUAAAAAACUCAAACAUCUCUGUGGUUUUCUGCAGAUCUGUCCAGCUUCAAACUUGCAGUAUUUCUUUAUAUCAGCAGGGGGCGACAGGUCUGAAGUCUAUGUUACUAUAGUAUACUUCUCAGCUGUUCACAUUUACUGUCAAACUGGGCCGUCAGUGAAAUCAAAUGACCCGGGUUCUUCUUCUUCUUCCAGCUCUGCAGGUUUCAGAUGAAGUUCUUUGGUGAUGAAUCAGGAUCCAGAGUGUUGAAGGAUGAACAUGACGGAGCCUGAAGAAGAAGGAGAAGAAGAAGGAGGAGAAGAAGGAGGAGAAGGAGGAGGAGGAGAAGGAGGAGGAGGAUCUGAUCUCUGUUCAGUCAUGUCUGCAGGAGCCUGGAGGGCCCAAAACUCAGCAGAGAAGUCCUCACACAGGAAUGUAAAAAAAACACUUCAUUAUACACACACACACACACACACACACACACACACACAGGAUGAAAGAUGGCCGACCUGAAGCAGCUUCACUUUACUCAGAAUACAUGUUUACCUGACUCUCUCAGGGUUACUGUACAGACAGACAGACAGACGCUGAAUGUGCAACAGAAAUAUAAAGGACUUUUAUUUUGAAAAGAACCACAAUACCAAAAGAAAAACACAAUUUGAUGGUUUUUAUUUGAGUUUUAGACCAGAUUAAAGUUCUUUAACCAACUCUCUGUAGACCGUAGUGGACCCAGCAGACCAGGUUCUGGAGUCUGACAGUCAACUGUUCCAAUCCUAUCCUCUUUAUUUCUAUAUCGCAUUUUAAAAAACAUUCAAGUUUACCAAAGUGCUGCAAAAUAAAAUUAAAAGACCAAACAGAAAACAUCAAGAUGAAAUAAAAAAAGCAGGUAAAAAAACAUUUAAAAUGAAAUAAAAACACAAACGCAUAAAAGAAAUAAAAGUGAUAAAAGGACAGAGAUCACACAACUCUCAUUCUGAGCUAAGAGCCGAGGAAUAAAGAUGAGUUUUAAGAAGCGAUUUAAAGUAGAAAGAGUGGAGGGAUGUUUCAUCUUGAGUGGUGGAGUAAAGCUCGGUCGUCACGGGUUUUUAAACGAGUUUUAGGAACGACGAGUUGGAGCUGAUCAGCCAACCUCUAGAGUACAAAGAUUUAAGAGGUCAGAGACGUACUGUGGUGCUGAUCCGUUCAAAGAUUUAAAAACAAACAAUAACAUUUUAAAAUGAAUUCUAAAAUGGAUGUUUUGGUUUACCUGUUAAAAGACGAGCAGUAGAAUUUUAGACCAACUGUAAGUUUGUGAGAGAAACCUGAUAAACACCGACGUAAAGAGAGUUACAGUCGUCCAACCAAAGAGUGGAAAUAAAAACAGGAAGGACUCGUUAAAAAUCAUUCAAAGAUAAAACUGAUUUAAUCUGGGAGAAAAGCCUCAGAUGAUAAAAAACUGGAUUAAACAACAGAGCUGAUUUGUUGAUCCAAUUUAUAAUUAUUGUCAAAUUGUCAAAGAAUACCCUAAUCUACCCCAAACCAAACCCCUCAUUCCCACCAUGUAAUCUAAGUACAAUAGAAACGUGAAUUAAAAUGCUUGAACUUAAAAAAGAGCUCGAUUUCAUAUAAACAGGAAUGUGUACACUGAGGAAACACCGUUUUAAAACUCCAGAUAAGGAGGUUUAAAAUCUAAAAACAAAGAAAUAUAGAAUGAAAUUUAAGAAAUAAUAAGAUAAAAAAUAAGAUAAACUAAAAUAAGAGCUCCAAAAAAGCUCAUAAAAGACGAUCCUGUCAUUAAAGCUAGAAGAGAUAAAUGCUAAAACACUUAAAGGUAUGGAUAUAAAAUUUGGUUAAAAUCAAGACUAAAAAGGUUCGUUUUCAGUUUGGUUUUAAAAUCAUUGAGAUGAAGUUUUGUGUCUCUACAGUCCUUCUCUCUAACUCUCCUUUUCAUAGUCCUAACCCCGCAAACGUCUUCAGUCUGCACACAGUCCUGUCGUACUUCAGUGAAAGUCCUCAUGAGUUUGUCUGACACACAUCCAGAGAUGAGUCCUGACAUGACAUCAGAUCAGAGCCCCGGGACAAAGACAGUCAGUCAGACCUGCUGCCUGCUGCACGUUAUAAACAUGUAACAUUCAUCAGCUCAUCUGUGAUUGGCCGCCACAGAAAGAGCGGGAAAACAGCCCAUCCAAUCCGUGCCAAUGUGGGGAGUUUGAACCUGCAGGUUCACCUCAGUUUGAGUUCACAGGAGGUAGAUGAUUGCUUCAGAGAACAAGUCCCAGCUGUUACAGACAGCGGGUCUGACUGUACGAUCACUGCGAGCUACACAUCUGCAUAUAAACUGUACAUUAUUGAACACAUUUAAAGCCUUAAAGGGAUAUUCCGGUGUAAAAUUCAUUUAGGCUCAAACUCACUGAGUUAGACCCCCCCUCCAGAGAUGAAUGUUGUCGACCGCUUCCUUCUCUAGUUAUACCAACUUUAGUAACGACCGCAGGAUAGAAAUACAGAGAGCCACGCCCCCAACCAAAACGC
This is a non-coding RNA of Xyrichtys novacula (pearly razorfish), 3159 nucleotides long. NCBI's taxonomy places the organism in Eukaryota, Metazoa, Chordata, Actinopteri, Labriformes, Labridae. The record is from the annotation of a GenBank genome assembly.